This 805-nucleotide ribosomal RNA is filed under the name Clavibacter michiganensis. Its description in RNAcentral is "bacterial SSU rRNA". It matches the Rfam family "Bacterial small subunit ribosomal RNA", at positions 82 to 899 of the family's 1533-position model. Lineage: Bacteria; Bacillati; Actinomycetota; Actinomycetes; Micrococcales; Microbacteriaceae. The record is from RNAcentral.
CUCUGGCGGAUCAGUGGCGAACGGGUGAGUAACACGUGAGUAACCUGCCCCCGACUCUGGGAUAACUGCUAGAAAUGGUAGCUAAUACCGGAUAUGACGACUGGCCGCAUGGUCUGGUCGUGGAAAGAAUUUCGGUUGGGGAUGGACUCGCGGCCUAUCAGGUUGUUGGUGAGGUAAUGGCUCACCAAGCCUACGACGGGUAGCCGGCCUGAGAGGGUGACCGGCCACACUGGGACUGAGACACGGCCCAGACUCCUACGGGAGGCAGCAGUGGGGAAUAUUGCACAAUGGGCGCAAGCCUGAUGCAGCAACGCCGCGUGAGGGAUGACGGCCUUCGGGUUGUAAACCUCUUUUAGUAGGGAAGAAGCGAAAGUGACGGUACCUGCAGAAAAAGCACCGGCUAACUACGUGCCAGCAGCCGCGGUAAUACGUAGGGUGCAAGCGUUGUCCGGAAUUAUUGGGCGUAAAGAGCUCGUAGGCGGUUUGUCGCGUCUGCUGUGAAAUCCCGAGGCUCAACCUCGGGUCUGCAGUGGGUACGGGCAGACUAGAGUGCGGUAGGGGAGAUUGGAAUUCCUGGUGUAGCGGUGGAAUGCGCAGAUAUCAGGAGGAACACCGAUGGCGAAGGCAGAUCUCUGGGCCGUAACUGACGCUGAGGAGCGAAAGCAUGGGGAGCGAACAGGAUUAGAUACCCUGGUAGUCCAUGCCGUAAACGUUGGGAACUAGAUGUGGGGACCAUUCCACGGUCUCCGUGUCGCAGCUAACGCAUUAAGUUCCCCGCCUGGGGAGUACGGCCGCAAGGCUAAAA